GAUGAACGCUGGCGGCGUGCCUAAUACAUGCAAGUCGAGCGAACAGAUAAGGAGCUUGCUCCUUUGACGUUAGCGGCGGACGGGUGAGUAGCACGUGGGUAACCUACCUAUAAGACUGGGAUAACUUCGGGAAACCGGAGCUAAUACCGGAUAACAUUUGGAACCGCAUGGUUCUAAAGUGAAAGAUGGUUUUGCUAUCACUUGUAGAUGGACCCGGGCCGUAUUAGCUAGUUGGUAAGGUAACGGCUUACCAAGGCGACGAUACGUAGCCGACCUGAGAGGGUGAUCGGCCACACUGGAACUGAGACACGGUCCAGACUCCUACGGGAGGCAGCAGUAGGGAAUCUUCCGCAAUGGGCGAAAGCCUGACGGAGCAACGCCGCGUGAGUGAUGACGGGUUUCGGCUCGUAAAACUCUGUUAUUAGGGAAGAACAAAUGUGUAAGUAACUGUGCACGUCUUGACGGUACCUAAUCAGAAAGCCACGGCUAACUACGUG
RNAcentral lists this ribosomal RNA (497 nucleotides) under uncultured bacterium. Its description in RNAcentral is "partial 16S ribosomal RNA". It matches the Rfam family "Bacterial small subunit ribosomal RNA", at positions 28 to 507 of the family's 1533-position model. The record is from RNAcentral.